GAUGAACGCUGGCGGCGUGCCUAAUACAUGCAAGUCGAGCGAACGGACGAGAAGCUUGCUUCUCUGAUGUUAGCGGCGGACGGGUGAGUAACACGUGGAUAACCUACCUAUAAGACCGGGAUAACUUCGGGAAACCGGAGCUAAUACCGGAUGAUAUUUUGAACCGCAUGGUUCAAAAGUGAAAGACGGUCUUGCUGCCACUUAUAGAUGGAUCCGCGCUGCAUUAGCUAGUUGGUAAGGUAACGGCUUACCAAGGCAACGAUGCAUAGCCGACCUGAGAGGGUGAUCGGCCACACUGGAACUGAGACACGGUCCAGACUCCUACGGGAGGCAGCAGUAGGGAAUCUUCCGCAAUGGGCGAAAGCCUGACGGAGCAACGCCGCGUGAGUGAUGAAGGUCUUCGGAUCGUAAAACUCUGUUAUUAGGGAAGAACAUAUGUGUAAGUAACUGUGCACAUCUUGACGGUACCUAAUCAGAAAGCCACGGCUAACUACGUG
Molecule: ribosomal RNA, 497 nt
Filed under: uncultured bacterium
Lineage: Bacteria
Description: partial 16S ribosomal RNA
Rfam family: Bacterial small subunit ribosomal RNA
Source: RNAcentral